This is a long non-coding RNA of Dreissena polymorpha, 472 nucleotides long. RefSeq lists it as uncharacterized. The record is from RefSeq and is a predicted model, not a curated record. Lineage: Eukaryota; Metazoa; Mollusca; Bivalvia; Myida; Dreissenidae. The transcript is spliced from 3 exons.
AGUAACAAAUAUCUAUUUGCCAGGCCCGGCAAAACUCCAAUAAGAUCUACUGAUGCUUUAAGAAAAUACGCAGCACUGUGUGGUUCCAAACAACCUCAUACUCUGACCUCAACUGGAUUCAGAAAACAUGUGGCCACCAUGUCACAAAUGCUCAACUUGAAAGACAACAAACUAGAUGUGCUUGCAACAUUCCUCGGGCAUGACAUUCGAGUCCACCGUGAAUAUUAUCGGUUACCAGAAAACACUAUCCAUGUUGCCAAAGUCAGCAAGUUACUCCUGGAACUUUAGAGCGUGGCAAUAUCAGCGCCUACAAGGGCAAGAGUUUAGAAGACAUAGAUUUUGAUAUGGACGGGCCAAGAAGUCAGCCUCAGCAUCAGCCAGCGCACUGCCACCAUCACCUGAGCAAGAGGAGCAAGAGAGAGGGGACAACCAGCUGGAGCACUGCCACCAUCACCUGAGCAAGAGAGAGGGG